Molecule: small nuclear RNA, 187 nt
Organism: Hyla sarda
Lineage: Eukaryota; Metazoa; Chordata; Amphibia; Anura; Hylidae
Product: U2 spliceosomal RNA
Exons: 1
Source: RefSeq, a predicted model, not a curated record
AUUGCUUCUCGGCCUUUUGGCUAAGAUCAAGUGUAGUAUCUUUGGCUAAGAUCAAGUGUAGUAUCUGUUCUUAUCAGUUUCAUGCUGGGGGUAGGCGACGCCAGUGUGGAGCUGGUGGGGAUGGGUGUUGCAUGGUGAGGAAUCAGCUCGACGGCUACCCCGAUGUGACCUGUUUCCUCCAGGUCUC